Molecule: ribosomal RNA, 1240 nt
Filed under: metagenome
Description: bacterial LSU rRNA
Rfam family: Bacterial large subunit ribosomal RNA
Source: RNAcentral
UGAAUACGAGACGCUAAGGCGUCGAAGUAGUGUAUGUCAUACUUCCAAGAAAAGCUUGCACUGUCAUAGAUAAAAAACGCCUGUACCAUAACCGACACAGGUGGGUAGGUAGAGUAUACUAAGGGGCGCGAGAUAACUCUCUCUAAGGAACUCGGCAAAAUAACUCCGUAACUUCGGAAGAAGGAGUGCCUUAUUCGUAAGGUUGCAAUAACAAGAUCCAAGCAACUGUUUAUCAAAAACACAGGUCUCCGCUAAGUCGUAAGACGAUGUAUGGGGGCUGACGCCUGCCCAGUGCCAGAAGGUUAAAGAAGUUGGUUAGCAAUUGCGAAGCUGAUAACUGAAGCCCUGGUGAACGGCGGCCGUAACAAUAACGGUCCUAAGGUAGCGAAAUUCCUUGUCGGGUAAGUUCCGACCCGCACGAAAGGCGUAAUGAUUUGGAUACUGUCUCGGAGAGGGGCUCGGUGAAAUAGACUUGUCUGUGAAGAUGCGGACUACCUGCACCAGGACAGAAAGACCCUAUGAAGCUUUACUGUAACUUGAAAUUGAAAUUGGACUUUAUUCGCGCAGUAUAGGUGGGAGGCGUUGAUUAUAAUCUUGUGGGAUUAUUGGAGCCAUCAGUGAGAUACCACUCUUGUUAUGUUAGAUUUCUAACUUUGAAUCAUUAUCUGGUCAAAGAACAGUUUCAGGCGGGCAGUUUGACUGGGGCGGUCGCCUCCUAAACGGUAACGGAGGCGUACAAAGGUUUCCUCUGAACGGUUAGAAAUCGUAUCUAGAGUGUAAAGGCAUAAGGAAGCUUGACUGUGAGACCUACAAGUCGAGCAGGGACGAAAGUCGGUCUUAGUGAUCUGACGGUACUGAGUGGAAAGGCCGUCACUCAACGGAUAAAAGUUACUCUAGGAUAACAGGCUGAUCUCCCCCAAGAGUUCACAUCGACGGGGAGGUUUGGCACCUGGAUGUCGGCUCAUCGCAUCCUGGGGCGGUAGUACGUCCCAAGGGUUGGGCUGUUCGCCCAUGAAAGCGGUACGCGAGCUGGGUUCAGAACGUCGUGAGACAGUUCGGUCCAUAUCCGGUGUAGGCGUUAGAAUAUUGAGGGGAGCCUUCUUUAGUACGAGAGGACCGAGAAGGACAUACCUCUGGUGUACCAGUUAUCGUGCCAACGGUAAACGCUGGGUAGCUAUGUAUGGAGUGGAUAACCGCUGAAAGCAUCUAAGUGGGAAGCCCACCUCAAGAUAAGUAUUCU